Long non-coding RNA from Xiphophorus hellerii (green swordtail), 357 nucleotides. RefSeq lists it as uncharacterized. The record is from RefSeq and is a predicted model, not a curated record. Lineage: Eukaryota; Metazoa; Chordata; Actinopteri; Cyprinodontiformes; Poeciliidae. The transcript has 3 exons.
GGACCUUUCCGUCAGUCCCAUACCUUAUUUGGAAAUGGGACUAUUGCAUUCCGGAAAUGAAGGGGGCGCUAUUUUCAUAAUCACUAGUAUAAAUACCUUAAGACGCGGAGUUAAGAGGAACGGAAGAAGAAAGAAAGAAGUUUGAGACGUUCUUCCACUGGUGUUCGGCUCACGAUCAACAAUGCAAAACUCACAAAGUCAACAAAAGAUCCACGUAUCUAUUUGCAACAUGAACAUAAAUAUUGCUGUCCCCUUUGCUCAUACAAGCUACAGAGCCAUUUAGCACAAACUGCUAUGGUUCAACAUAACGAUGCCUCUGAAUGUUCUUGAAGCUGUUCUCCAGGAGGUGAUACCUGC